UUUAACUUCCCCAAAUUCUUGUCCACAGAAUCUAGCAAGAUGGUGCGCAGGCUAAAAUACAUGCAGAGAAGUUCAAGAAGAACACGUCCAGAAUGCUGGUCAAUGUUUCUCUACAAAACCACAAGUCCGCACACAGUUUGUCAGCCUUCGAACGGUGCAGUGCUCGUGAACUUGGACCAUGGCAAUGUAUUUGCACACCGUUGGACUUCACACAUAGCAUGUACAGGCGUGGACUUGGGUGCAGGUGUAGUUGUCCGCCAGACCACAAUAACACGAGUGGAGCAGACCUACAAAGACCAGCCAUCCAAGUUCGCGAGGUCCAUGAUGAGGAUUUUGUUCAUGGACGAAGAAAUGAUGAACAAGUUCGUUUUUGGACUGCAGGCCAACAGCAACAAAGACCAU
Ornithodoros turicata is the source of this 402-nucleotide long non-coding RNA. RefSeq lists it as uncharacterized. The transcript is spliced from 3 exons. Lineage: Eukaryota; Metazoa; Arthropoda; Arachnida; Ixodida; Argasidae. The record is from RefSeq and is a predicted model, not a curated record.